GUCUAUGGCCACACCACCCUGAACACGCGGGGUCUUGUCUGAUCAGGGAAGCGAAACGGGGGCGGGGGGAGACUGCCUAGUUACACCGAGGGGCCAUAGGCA
Molecule: ribosomal RNA, 102 nt
Filed under: Mustela putorius furo (domestic ferret)
Lineage: Eukaryota; Metazoa; Chordata; Mammalia; Carnivora; Mustelidae
Source: RNAcentral